This 19-nucleotide unclassified non-coding RNA is filed under the name Mus musculus (house mouse). RNAcentral describes it as "oocyte_clustered_small_RNA1535". The record is from RNAcentral. Lineage: Eukaryota; Metazoa; Chordata; Mammalia; Rodentia; Muridae.
AUCCUGACUAGCACUUGAC